This is a long non-coding RNA of Centrocercus urophasianus (Greater sage-grouse), 434 nucleotides long. RefSeq lists it as uncharacterized. The transcript has 3 exons. The record is from RefSeq and is a predicted model, not a curated record. NCBI's taxonomy places the organism in Eukaryota, Metazoa, Chordata, Aves, Galliformes, Phasianidae.
GCUGAAUGAAACACGGCAUUUCUCAGUGCGUGCCUCUGCUGAAAAAGUCUCUCCAGCUCUGACAGUGGGGAGAGCAAUUUGUCACCUUUUGGCCCAGUGAUGACCACGUAAUGGUGGAGAAAGCAGCAAUCCCAGUGACUCUUCCAUCACACAGUGAAACUGGUCUCCAAUGACUGAAAUGGAUACUGCUGAACAUGACCAUGUUCACCAUCGGAUACAAUCUGGAACCAGUGCUUGAAACAUCUUCAGCCUCGUGUUAUUGUGUACACUCAUCCAAAGGCGGUACUCUUCUGGACUACUGCACUUUGCCAAAGUUCUGUUGGUAAUAGUCUUCUUCUUCUAGAGUUGUUCCCUUACUGUGUGACAAGCGUAGCAUGCUUCACUGGUACUAUGAGGGCAUCUUUUGUCAGCACAGGCUGCUGCAUGAUGGAGAU